AUGACGACCGGCGCACGGGUGCGUAACGCGUAUAGAACCUACCUUUUACAGAGGAAUAGCCUUUAGAAAUGAAGAUUAAUGCCUCAUGGUAUUGUAGACUGGCAUCAGUUUAUAAUUAAAGAUUUAUCGGUAAAAGAUGGCUAUGCGUCCUAUUAGUUAGUUGGUAAGGUAACGGCUUACCAAGACAGCGAUAGGUAGGGGUCCUGAGAGGGAGAUCCCCCACACUGGUACUGAGACACGGACCAGACUCCUACGGGAGGCAGCAGUGAGGAAUAUUGGACAAUGGAGGAGACUCUGAUCCAGCCAUGCCGCGUGUAGGAAGAAUGCCCUAUGGGUUGUAAACUACUUUUAUACAG
This 356-nucleotide ribosomal RNA is filed under the name uncultured Polaribacter sp. RNAcentral's name for it is "bacterial SSU rRNA". It matches the Rfam family "Bacterial small subunit ribosomal RNA", at positions 88 to 443 of the family's 1533-position model. The record is from RNAcentral. Lineage: Bacteria; Pseudomonadati; Bacteroidota; Flavobacteriia; Flavobacteriales; Flavobacteriaceae.